Coregonus clupeaformis (lake whitefish) is the source of this 348-nucleotide long non-coding RNA. RefSeq lists it as uncharacterized. The record is from RefSeq and is a predicted model, not a curated record. The transcript has 3 exons. Lineage: Eukaryota; Metazoa; Chordata; Actinopteri; Salmoniformes; Salmonidae.
UUGCUGUGAGUUUUGGGAUGCUGUGUGUUCUACAAGUCACUCUCAACAUCUCCCUGAGACCAGUCUAUAACAGAGGCAUCACCAAAGUGACUGCAGAGAGAGACCAGCUACAGACCAGUUACAACAACCUGACUAAAGAGAGAGACCAGCUACAGACCAGUUACAACAACCUGACUAAAGAGAGAGACCAGAUACAAAAGGAGAGAGAUGAUCUCAAGAGAAAGUUCUCUAAUCUGAAACAAACCUAUCCUGAAGGCUGGCAGAAGUUUGGAUCCAGUUGGUACUUCAUCUCUACUGAGACUAAAACCUGGAGGGAGAGCAGACAGGACUGUCUGGAGAGAGGAGCAG